Schizosaccharomyces pombe (fission yeast) is the source of this 691-nucleotide non-coding RNA. NCBI's taxonomy places the organism in Eukaryota, Fungi, Ascomycota, Schizosaccharomycetes, Schizosaccharomycetales, Schizosaccharomycetaceae. The record is from the annotation of a GenBank genome assembly.
GAAAGUUCUUCGGAAAUUAGCUCAGGCAAGUUAGCGCCAACUGACGAAGAAGCAUGAAGAUCAAAAGGCCAUUGCGAAAAGUCACAGAGAAGCUCGUCUACGCGAGAAAAUGCUUUUUCACGAUCUUCAUAGUUUAAAUUGUCAAGAGCGUUUUCAAGAACAUUAGCAGCGUAUGAGGAACAAGCAAGGGCAACAGUGCGAAGGCAACGAAAAGACAAAUAUUCUGGGAAAGAAGGUGAAUUAUCAAUUUCAAUUACUCGUGAAGUAAGAACAGAGACCACUCUUUUUUUAAUGGAAUCUUUAAUGGAGGUAUCGGCAAUGGGAUGAGUUGGCAUGUCGAAAAGUAAGAAAUUCUUCUUCUCAUUUCUUAAAAUCCCUUUGUCAACAAGGCCCUUUGCCAACCGUUCGCGUACUUGUCUUAAUUGAUAUCCAAUCUUCAUCACAUUCCACGUUUCACCACUCAUCAAAUCAAUCCAAGAGGUUACAGACAUGAGUUCGCUAGUAUGUAUCAUUUUAAUAGCUUCGUCUAAAAGAACCUCACCUGUAAGUUUUUCAUCAACCAACUCCACUACACGAUCCGCUAACGGAAAGCGUUUACGAUUAACGUCUUUUUGCAUACGCAACUUUCCACGAAAUGCGAGCUCCAUUAGAAUACAUCCCCGAAGAGAAUAAGAAAUGCUGUCAUUCCAAA